AUGGGAGGCCAUUCGCUGCCUAGAGCCGUUCACUCCAGAACCGGAGCCCGUCCGCCGCCGCGCGCAGCCACCCACUCCCGCGACCACUCUCUCUCCAUCGCCGCCGUCGUCGCGCGGGCUCGAAGCCGCCGCCUCCUCUCCCACAGGAAAAUACAUAUGGAACAAGCUGCUGGGCCUCUUCUCCCGCGGCGGCCCGCCGGGCCCGGCCCGCAGGCUGUUCGACGCGAUGCCCGAGCGGGACGCCGUCUCCUAGAACACCUUCAUCGCGCGCCUCUACUUGCGCAUGCUGAGCGUUGCCCCGAGUCCCGACGGGACCGGGGGCUCGUCCCGCAGGCGCACGCCCACGCGGUGCGGCUCGGGCUCCGCUCGACCGCGUUCGUGGGGACGGCCCUGGCGCGCGCGUACGGGAUGCGCGGGCGCCGCCGCCGCCGCGUUCGAGGAGAUCGCCGAGCCGGACGCCGUGUGCUGGAACGUCAUGGUCGACGCGUGCGCGCGGCGCGCCGUGGAGACGCUGUCGCGGAUGCGCGGGGCUGGAGGCGUCGCCGAGUCAUGAACGGCCACUGCUUCGCCAGCGUGCUUUGUGAAUCUGCCGCCCUUGCGAGCCUUGAGCAUGGAAAGAUGGUGCAUUGCCGGGUCAUGAACCUGGGGUUUUGCUCCGAUACGGUUGUCGGGAACGCCCUAUUCGACAUGUACUUCAAGUGUGGCAGCUCAUCGGAUGCCCGGCCUGUGUUUCGCACGAUGCGGGUGCGCGACGUGGUGUCGUGGACAGCCAUGAUUCUCGGCUUCGGGCGUCACGGCGAGGCCAUGAAGGCUGUUAUGACCUUCAGAGAAAUGAUCCAUGAUGGGUUCAGGCCUGACAGCGUCACAUUCCUCGCGGUCCUUUCUGCCUGUAGACAAGGGGGUCUCGUCGAUGAAGGGCUUGCGAUCUUCCACUCCAUGGUUGAGGAUCAUGGUGUCAAGCCGCAGAGGGAGCAUUGUGCUUGCAUUGUUGAUCUGUUAGGACAUGCCGGGAGACUAAAAGAAGCAGAGGCGUUAAUCAAAGCCGUGGGGCUGGAAAUGGAUUCCUUGGCAUGGGAGUCGCUUCUAGGAGCUUGCGGGCUCGACGGCGCCAGC
Molecule: ribosomal RNA, 1113 nt
Filed under: Triticum aestivum (bread wheat)
Lineage: Eukaryota; Viridiplantae; Streptophyta; Magnoliopsida; Poales; Poaceae
Description: partial small subunit ribosomal RNA
Source: RNAcentral